CACGUAGGGCGCAAGCGUUGUCCGGAAUUAUUGGGCGUAAAGAGCUCGUAGGCGGUCUGUUGCGUCCGCUGUGAAAACUCGGGGCUUAACCCCGAGCCUGCAGUGGAUACGGGCAGACUAGAGGUAGGUAGGGGAGAAUGGAAUUCCCGGUGUAGCGGUGAAAUGCGCAGAUAUCGGGAGGAACACCGGUGGCGAAGGCGGUUCUCUGGGCAUUACCUGACGCUGAGACGCGAAAGCGUGGGGAGCAAACAGG
This 253-nucleotide ribosomal RNA is filed under the name uncultured bacterium. Its description in RNAcentral is "partial 16S ribosomal RNA". It matches the Rfam family "Bacterial small subunit ribosomal RNA", at positions 524 to 776 of the family's 1533-position model. The record is from RNAcentral.